This 811-nucleotide ribosomal RNA is filed under the name uncultured Bacillota bacterium. RNAcentral's name for it is "bacterial SSU rRNA". It matches the Rfam family "Bacterial small subunit ribosomal RNA", at positions 58 to 901 of the family's 1533-position model. Lineage: Bacteria; Bacillati; Bacillota. The record is from RNAcentral.
CAAGUCGAACGAGAAAGCAGGGGCAACCCUGUGAGUACAGUGGCGUACGGGUGAGUAACACGUGGGUAAUCUACCCUUUAGUGGGGAAUAACGCUGGGAAACCGGCGCUAAUACCGCAUAAUCUCGAGAGAGGAAAGUCGCAAGACGCUGAAGGAGGAGCCCGCGGCCGAUUAGCCAGUUGGUGAGGUAAAGGCUCACCAAAGCAAAGAUCGGUAGCCGGCCUGAGAGGGCACACGGCCACACUGGCACUGAAACACGGGCCAGACUCCUACGGGAGGCAGCAGUGGGGAAUCUUGCACAAUGGGGGAAACCCUGAUGCAGCGACGCCGCGUGAGCGAUGAAGCCCUUCGGGGUGUAAAGCUCUUUCGGCAGGGACGAUUAUGACGGUACCUGCAGAAGCAGCUGCGGCUAACUACGUGCCAGCAGCCGCGGUAAUACGUAGGCAGCGAGCGUUGUUCGGAGUUACUGGGCGUAAAGGGUGUGUAGGCGGUUCUCUAAGUUUGGUGUGAAAUCUCCCGGCUCAACCGGGAGGGUGCGCCGAAAACUGGAGGGCUAGAGUGCGGGAAGGGAGAGUAGAAUUCCUGGUGUAGCGGUGAAAUGCGUAGAUAUCAGGAGGAAUACCGGUGGUGCAGACGGCUCUCUGGACCGCGACUGACGCUGAGACACGAAAGCGUGGGUAGCAAACAGGAUUAGAUACCCUGGUAGUCCACGCCCUAAACGAUGCAUAUUUGGUGUAGGUCAUUCAGUUGAUCUGUGCCGGAGCUAACGCGUUAAUAUGCCGCCUGGGGAGUACAGUCGCAAGGCUGAAACU